This is an unclassified non-coding RNA of Callithrix jacchus (white-tufted-ear marmoset), 300 nucleotides long. It matches the Rfam family "Metazoan signal recognition particle RNA". From Rfam's summary of the family: The signal recognition particle (SRP) is a universally conserved ribonucleoprotein. It is involved in the co-translational targeting of proteins to membranes. NCBI's taxonomy places the organism in Eukaryota, Metazoa, Chordata, Mammalia, Primates, Cebidae. The record is from Ensembl.
GCUGGGCACGGUGGCGCGUGUCUGUAGUCCCAGCUACUCGGGAGGCUGAGGCUGGAGGAUCUCUUGAGUCCAGGAGUUCUGGGCUGUAGUGCGCUAUGCCGAUCGGGUGUCUGCACUAAGUUUGGCAUCAAUAUGGUGACCUCCCGGGAGUGGGGGACCACCAGGUUGCCUAAGGAGGGGUGAACUGGCCCAGGUCGGAAACGGAGCAGGUCAAAACUCCAGUGCUGAUCAGUAGUGGGAUCGCACCUGUGAAUAGCCACUGCACUCCAACUUGGGCAACAUAGUGAGACCCUGUCUCUU